Molecule: non-coding RNA, 29 nt
Filed under: Mus musculus (house mouse)
Lineage: Eukaryota; Metazoa; Chordata; Mammalia; Rodentia; Muridae
Source: RNAcentral
UAGAUGUAUUAUGACAAAUAACUCAGCAG